AGAGUUUGAUCCUGGCUCAGGAUGAACGCUGGCGGCGUGCCUAACACAUGCAAGUCGAGCGAUUCUCUUCGGAGAAGAGCGGCGGACGGGUGAGUAACGCGUGGGUAACCUGCCUCAUACACAUGGAUAACAUACCGAAAGGUAUGCUAAUACAGGAUAAUAUAAGAGAUUCACAUGGAUUUCCUAUCAAAGCUCCGGCGGUAUGAGAUGGACCCGCGUCUGAUUAGCUAGUUGGUAAGGUAACGGCUUACCAAGGCGACGAUCAGUAGCCGACCUGAGAGGGUGAUCGGCCACAUUGGAACUGAGACACGGUCCAAACUCCUACGGGAGGCAGCAGUGGGGAAUAUUGCACAAUGGGCGAAAGCCUGAUGCCAGCAACGCCGCGUGAGUGAUGAAGGCCUUCGGGUCGUAAAACUCUGUCCUCAAGGAAGAUAAUGACGGUACUUGAGGAGGAAGCCCCGGCUAACUACGUGCCAGCAGCGGC
RNAcentral lists this ribosomal RNA (484 nucleotides) under uncultured bacterium. Its description in RNAcentral is "bacterial SSU rRNA". It matches the Rfam family "Bacterial small subunit ribosomal RNA", at positions 8 to 518 of the family's 1533-position model. The record is from RNAcentral.